RNAcentral lists this ribosomal RNA (253 nucleotides) under uncultured bacterium. RNAcentral's name for it is "partial 16S ribosomal RNA". It matches the Rfam family "Bacterial small subunit ribosomal RNA", at positions 524 to 776 of the family's 1533-position model. The record is from RNAcentral.
UACGUAGGGGGCAAGCGUUGUCCGGAAUUAUUGGGCGUAAAGAGCGUGUAGGCGGCCAGAUAAGUCCGCUGUGAAAUCUCGAGGCUCAACUUCGAGCUGUCGGUGGAAACUAUCUGGCUAGAGUCCGGAAGAGGAGAAUGGAAUUCCUGGUGUAGCGGUGAAAUGCGCAGAUAUCAGGAAGAACACCCGUGGCGAAGGCGGUUCGCUGGGACGGUACUGACGCUGAGACGCGAAAGCGUGGGGAGCGAACAGG